Molecule: ribosomal RNA, 253 nt
Filed under: uncultured bacterium
Lineage: Bacteria
Description: partial 16S ribosomal RNA
Rfam family: Bacterial small subunit ribosomal RNA
Source: RNAcentral
UACGGAGGGGGCAAGCGUUGUUCGGAGUUACUGGGCGUAAAGGGCGCGUAGGCGGUGCAGCAAGUCAGGCGUGAAAGCCCCGGGCUUAACCUGGGAACUGCGUCUGAUACUGGACGGCUCGAGUAUGGGAGAGGGAUGUAGAAUUCCAGGUGUAGCGGUGAAAUGCGUAGAUAUCGGGAGGAACACCGGUGGCGAAGGCGGCCACCUGGACGGUAACUGACGCUGAGACGCGAAAGCGUGGGUAGCAAACAGG